UACGAACUGUGCGACCGUUAUUCGGAAUCACUGGGCUUACAGGGUGCGUAGGCGGCUUUUCAAGUCAGGUGUGAAAGCCCCCGGCUCAACCGGGGAAUUGCGCUUGAAACUGGAGAGCUCGAGUCAGCUAGAGGUGCACGGAACUUCCAGUGGAGCGGUGAAAUGUGUUGAUAUUGGAAGGAACACCGGAGGCGAAAGCGGGGCACUGGGGCUGGUCUGACGCUGAGGCACGAAAGCCAGGGUAGCGAACGGG
RNAcentral lists this ribosomal RNA (253 nucleotides) under uncultured bacterium. RNAcentral describes it as "partial 16S ribosomal RNA". It matches the Rfam family "Bacterial small subunit ribosomal RNA", at positions 524 to 776 of the family's 1533-position model. The record is from RNAcentral.